CCUACGGGAGGCAGCAGUGGGAAAUAUUGGACAAUGGGCGAAAGCCUGAUCCAGCAAUGCCACGUGAGUGAUGAAGGCCCUAGGGUUGUAAAGCUCUUUUACCCAGGAUGAUAAUGACAGUACCAAGAGAAUAAACCCCAGCUAACUCCAUGCCAGCAGCCGCGGUAAU
This 169-nucleotide ribosomal RNA is filed under the name uncultured soil bacterium. Its description in RNAcentral is "partial 16S ribosomal RNA". It matches the Rfam family "Bacterial small subunit ribosomal RNA", at positions 338 to 524 of the family's 1533-position model. The record is from RNAcentral.